Molecule: long non-coding RNA, 367 nt
Organism: Mus caroli (Ryukyu mouse)
Lineage: Eukaryota; Metazoa; Chordata; Mammalia; Rodentia; Muridae
Source: RefSeq, a predicted model, not a curated record
GCAAGGGCACUCUGGAAUCCUGGGGCUCAUUGACUGGUGUUGGGGUAUCUGAGCUGUUUAAAAUGAGCUCACUGCAAACUGUGCUUUCCAAAGCCACCUGAUCCAGUCUGGAGAGUCCUUGUGAGCACUUCUAAUACACACGAAGAAAGCACUCAGAGUGAUGUUUGGAGAGAAGAUCACAACACAGAAAGCCAGGAGAGGAACAGAAGAGAUGAUCAAGAAUGCACAUGCAGACAACAGCAAGAGGUGGCAGAGCAAAGUCCCUGGGCUCUUUCAUGGGACAUCUAAAAAUGUGGCCAUGGAAUCUGUCAGUUGGAGGACACCUCUGAAGGCUCCUGGUUCCUGGCCUGCUUGAGUUCCAGUCCUG